GCGGCUGCCCGCCCCGCGGCUCCUCCGGGCGCGCGCCGCGCUGCGCCGCGCCGCCGGGGGCGGACCCCAGCCGCUGGCCUCGCGGUCCCUUGGCCGGACUGUCCGAAGCCUGCAGCCUCCCGACCCGGACCUCCUCUUUUGGUUUUGAGACAGGGUCUCUCUGUGUAGACCAGGCUGGCCUUCUGCCCGGAAACCGUAAGGAGAGCCGCUUUGUAGGAAGUGCCCUUGCUCCGCAGGACAGAUCUGAGGAGACCUCUCAGGACGCCAGAUGAAGGAAGAAAUUUACGGAAAGGAAGAAAUGGCGUCCACAUUCACACUGUUAAGCUGAAGGAAAGAGCCUAACUCAGUAGCCCAGUCUGCCUUGAGCUCCCCCAGGGCUCAUCGUCCAAGUAACAUAAAGGCAAAAUUCUAAAAUUCUGUGCUGCCUUUGACACUUGCUACCUUACCUUACCUUGGUUUUUCACCUUGACUCCUGGCUGCUCCGAGAAUGGGGAGGUUGUCCUCUUCCUCUGAGACUGUCUGUUCUCAAAAACUGUCUCCUAACUACCAAUGCCCAGAGCUUCCUAUAUCAUAGGCUUUAAGCCUUGUUUAAAUGUCUCAUUUCUUAAGGGAGAGCUUCCAUAAAGAGCGUCUUUGGGACUGCAGUCUCCCCUCAGUCCCUGAACACUACUCUUAAGUUUUCUCCAGGUCACUCAUCACCACUUAAUGCCUUAGUAUUUCAUUUUAAUUUUCUUUGGUUUUUGUUUGUUUUGAGAGGGUCUGUAUGUAAGACCAAGCUGGCCUCAAACUCAUAGAGCUCCUCUUGCUUCUGCCUCCUGACUGCUGGGAUGAAAGGCUUAUCGCACUAUGCCUGGCUCUCUUGAUUUUCUUAACUCUUCUAUUUUCCCCAACAAAGAAUAAACUCUG
This 906-nucleotide long non-coding RNA is filed under the name Mus pahari (shrew mouse). Its description in RNAcentral is "predicted gene 15706 (MGP_PahariEiJ_G0005135.1)". The record is from RNAcentral. Lineage: Eukaryota; Metazoa; Chordata; Mammalia; Rodentia; Muridae.